AAGCGCUGAAAGCAUCUAAGCGUGAAGCCCCCCUCAAGAUGAGAUUUCCCAAUUAGUAAGACCCCUUGAAGACGACGAGGUAGAUAGGUUGGGGGUGGAAGUGCAGUAAUGCAUGGAGCUGACCAAUACUAAUCGGUCGAGGGCUUAUCCUAAA
RNAcentral lists this ribosomal RNA (154 nucleotides) under Paenibacillus sp. ICGEB2008. RNAcentral's name for it is "partial 23S ribosomal RNA". It matches the Rfam family "Bacterial large subunit ribosomal RNA", at positions 2766 to 2925 of the family's 2925-position model. The record is from RNAcentral. Lineage: Bacteria; Bacillati; Bacillota; Bacilli; Caryophanales; Paenibacillaceae.